UACGUAGGGGCCUAGCGUUGUCCGGAUUUAUUGGGCGUAAAGGGCGCGUAGGCGGCCUUCUAAGUCGAACGUGAAAUCCCCGGGCUCAACCCGGGAACUGCGUCCGAUACUGGAAGGCUUGAAUCCGGGAGAGGGAUGCGGAAUUCCAGGUGUAGCGGUGAAAUGCGUAGAUAUCUGGAGGAACACCGGUGGCGAAGGCGGCAUCCUGGACCGGCAUUGACGCUGAGGCGCGAAAGCCAGGGGAGCAAACGGG
This 253-nucleotide ribosomal RNA is filed under the name uncultured bacterium. RNAcentral describes it as "partial 16S ribosomal RNA". It matches the Rfam family "Bacterial small subunit ribosomal RNA", at positions 524 to 776 of the family's 1533-position model. The record is from RNAcentral.